This 497-nucleotide ribosomal RNA is filed under the name uncultured bacterium. Its description in RNAcentral is "partial 16S ribosomal RNA". It matches the Rfam family "Bacterial small subunit ribosomal RNA", at positions 28 to 507 of the family's 1533-position model. The record is from RNAcentral.
GACGAACGCUGGCGGCGUGCCUAAUACAUGCAAGUAGAACGCUGAAGAGAGGAGCUUGCUCUUCUUGGAUGAGUUGCGAACGGGUGAGUAACGCGUAGGUAACCUGCCUUGUAGCGGGGGAUAACUAUUGGAAACGAUAGCUAAUACCGCAUAACAAUGGAUGACACAUGUCAUUUAUUUGAAAGGGGCAAUUGCUCCACUACAAGAUGGACCUGCGUUGUAUUAGCUAGUAGGUGAGGUAAUGGCUCACCUAGGCGACGAUACAUAGCCGACCUGAGAGGGUGAUCGGCCACACUGGGACUGGGACACGGCCCAGACUCCUACGGGAGGCAGCAGGAGGGAAUCUUCGGCAAUGGGGGCAAACCUGACCGAGCAACGCCGCGUGAGUGAAGAAGGUUUUCGGAUCGUAAAGCUCUGUUGUAAGUCAAGAACGGGUGUGAGAGUGGAAAGUUCACACUGUGACGGUAGCUUACCAGAAAGGGACGGCUAACUACGUG